GAAUAUUGGACAAUGGGCGAAAGCCUGAUCCAGCCAUGCCGCGUGUGUGAAGAAGGUCUUCGGAUUGUAAAGCACUUUAAGUUGGGAGGAAGGGGUUGAAGCUAAUACCUUCAAUCUUUGACGUUACCAACAGAAUAAGCACCGGCUAACUUCGUGCAAGCAGCCGCGGUAAUACGAAGGGUGCAAGCGUUAAUCGGAAUUACUGGGUGUAAAGCGCGCGUAGGUGGUUCGUUAAGUUGGAAGUGAAAGCCCCGGGCUUAACCUGGGAAUUGCUUUCAAAACUGACGAGCUAGAGUACGGUAGAGGGUAGUGGAAUUUCCUGUGUAGCGGUGAAAUGCGUAGAUAUAGGAAGGAACAUCAGUGGCGAAGGCGACUACCUGGACUGAUACUGACACUGAGGUGCGAAAGCGUGGGGAGCAAACAGG
This 425-nucleotide ribosomal RNA is filed under the name uncultured bacterium. RNAcentral describes it as "partial 16S ribosomal RNA". It matches the Rfam family "Bacterial small subunit ribosomal RNA", at positions 359 to 776 of the family's 1533-position model. The record is from RNAcentral.